This 420-nucleotide ribosomal RNA is filed under the name uncultured bacterium. RNAcentral describes it as "bacterial SSU rRNA". It matches the Rfam family "Bacterial small subunit ribosomal RNA", at positions 355 to 773 of the family's 1533-position model. The record is from RNAcentral.
UAAGGAAUAUUGGUCAAUGGACGCAAGUCUGAACCAGCCAUGCCGCGUGAAGGAUGAAGGUCCUCUGGAUUGUAAACUUCUUUUAUCUGGGACGAAAACGGGAUUUUUAUCUCAAUUGACGGUACCAGAGGAAUAAGCACCGGCUAACUCCGUGCCAGCAGCCGCGGUAAUACGUAGGGUGCGAGCGUUAAUCGGAAUUACUGGGCGUAAAGCGUGCGCAGGCGGUUUUGUAAGACAGAUGUGAAAUCCCCGGGCUUAACCUGGGAACUGCGUUUGUGGCUGCAAGGCUGGAGUACGGCAGAGGAGGGUGGAAUUCCACGUGUAGCAGUGAAAUGCGUAGAGAUGUGGAGGAACACCGAUGGCGAAGGCAGCCCCCUGGGCCUGUACUGACGCUCAUGCACGAAAGCGUGGGGAGCAAAC